Molecule: long non-coding RNA, 6071 nt
Filed under: Solanum lycopersicum (tomato)
Lineage: Eukaryota; Viridiplantae; Streptophyta; Magnoliopsida; Solanales; Solanaceae
Description: long non-coding RNA (SLYC_LNC000041)
Source: RNAcentral
UCAAAAGCAUGGUCUACAUAAAGCUAUGGGAGGCCUGGUUGAAACAACCUUUUACAGAAUGAUUGUAGGGAGUCUUCAAUACUUGACUCUCACAAGACCAUAUAUUACUCAUGUUGUGAAUUUAGCAAGCCAAUUUUAUUCAAAACCCGAACAGUCAAGGAGUGAAAAGAAUUCUCAGGUAUACAUCAAAGGCACUCUGCACUUUGAACUUAGACUUAUUUCACAAUCACCAUGUAGGUUGUAUGGGUACUCCGAUGCUGACUGGGGAGGUUGUACCACUACUAGGAGAUCAACUACAAGUUAUAACAUCUACCUAGGUGCAAACUGUAUUUCUUCGACCUCCAAGAAAUAAUCCACAGUUGCUCGUUCAAGUGCUGAAGCUGAGUAUAGAGCACUUGCCUCCACUGCAUCAGAUUUGACAUAGAUCAUGUAUCUACUUUCAUGAUCUUGGGGUGUUUAUUCGAUCAGUACCUACAUUAUAUUGUGACAACAUGAGUGCUUUGUACAUGACAGUUAAUCCAGUUAUGCAUGCUAGAACUAAACAUGUUGAAAUGGACUAUCAUUUGGUUCAUGAGAAGGUUGUUAGAGGACAACUUGUUACUCAAUUUGUGAGGUCUAAGGAUCAGUUAGCAAAAUAUUCACACAAAAGUAUUAACCAAACAUGUUUUUGUUGAGUUUCAUCGCAAGCUAGGAGUUACAGUUCCUCCACUCACUAGCUUGAGGGGAAAUGUUGAAGGAUGCUGAUGGAACAGGACAAAGGAACAAUUUUGGUGAAGUUGUCUGAAAAGUUAGAGCUUGAGUAACACUAGUACUAGACUACUCAAUCCUAAUUUAUGUACAAGUCUAUACUUUGUACGACUUAAAUUGGUAUAGUUGACUAGGAUAAGGUGUACAUAAUAUAUUUGCGUUGUAUUAGGAUUCUUAGUGUAGAUAGUAAAGAACUCUUCCUCCUAUAAGGAAUAUGUAACUCAAUCAUUCAAUUAUCAAUACAAUCCUUGAUUCUUCACAUAUCUGUGAGAAUUCUACAUAACUCCAUAAUCACACCCCUAGAAUUGAGUUUUAGCCAAACAUCAUAAUGGAAAAGAAAUUAUACCAACUAUGUUUUUAGCCAUUGAAGUGUUGAUAAUCAUCAAUAAUCUUCAACAACCACUUUGAAUUGAACCCUCAAUUGUCAAUUACAAGUUUGUCCAAAACCCAAAAACUAAGAGAAAAAUAGAAAGGGUUUAUUUCUCAAUUUAAAAAAGCUAGAAUGCAUAAAAGAUACAUUUUCUCUAUCCUUUGGUUAUUUAUAAUUUUCCAAAAAUUGGUCCAAAAUUUCAUGCGCGACUGGAUCGAUGACUUAGUCGAGCUCCUCUAGCAUGAUCGGCAUAUCACCGUCCUAUUCUUCAGCUCGCCUUUUCUUGGCUACAUGCUUUAGUUGUUUUAAAUCCAGUUAUCGAACUCGAUUGAGUCAGCCUUUCAUGUUCGGCGAAUCAUCGUUAUCACCACUACUAUAAAACAGUGAAUACCCACCUAAAAUUAUCGACCUCAAAUAGAAGUCGAUAAUUUUCGAUCUCCGAAGGUCAGUAUUGUUAAAAAAGAAUAAAAAAAACUUUAGAAAAUCGACCACAACGAGUCAAUUUUUAUGAUAAAAUAGGAAUAUCAAAUACCGACCUCUAGAGAUUAAAAUUUUCUCUGAAAAAUGAAUUACCAUAAAAACUGGCCUCUUGAUGUCGGUAUUAAAUAAAUCAAUUAAUAACAAUAUUUUGUUUUCUUGGUUAAAUAUAAUAACACAAUUGAGAAGUAUUUUGAAUCAAUUUUAUUUAAAUCGUCUUUCAGCUUUCGAAAGUCGAUUAAAUUAAAUAGUAUGUAAUUAAAUUAAUUUUCAUUAAAAUAUUUAUAUAGUGGCUUCCAGAAAAUUAAUCAAUUAAUAUUUUCAAUUAACUUUAAAUAAAUCUUCUCCGGAUGACGGUUUUAUAUAAGUUCAAAAAUAAAUCAAUAUAAAAUACCGACUUUCUUAUGUUAGUAUUAUUUAACUAACAUUACUACUUCUUAUUUUUCUUAAUUUAAUCUAAUUUCUCUUAAUAAAAGUGAAAUUUGGAAGUCAGUUUGUUUAAAAUAUUUCUAUUAAUCAUAAUGUAGCUAUUGUGCAUAAUACCAAGGUAUCAUUUUUUGAAAUAGAUAAUAAGACAUCAUAAAGUACUAUACAAAACAAGUUCUAUCAAGAUUCUUACGUUUUGAUCUUGAAUGGAUGUCAAGUGUAGUGAUCAUAUUGUAGGCAAUGUCUUGUAAAAGGAUAAUUCAUCGGAAUAUGAAAUAUGUUGAUUAUAUACUCGUCGAGUAGUUUGACAAAAUCAAGUCUUAUAUAUUAAUGGUUCAGAUAUGAAAUAUAUUAUCAAAGAAAUACCAAUGAUCAAUUUAAAUAGAUUUAUAUAUUAAAUUUGAUAUUAAUAAACUUCAGUUGAUCAAUAAAAUUAAUUUAUGUGAUAAGGAGUUAUAUAUAUAUAUAUAUAUAUAUAUAUAUAUAUAUAUAUAUAUAUAUAUAUAUAUAUAUAUCCUCUUAUAUAUAAGCCAACAAGAAAAGGACCAACAAUGCAAUACUUAAUUGUACAUGCUCUGUCAGAUAUACUGUUGCUAAGUGCACUAUAAAGUUGGGCCUUUCUUUUAUCCUUUUAAUAGUAAACAUGAGUAUAACUCUUCCUUUUACAUGUGUACUGGUAAUUUUCUUUUCAUGAGAUAAAUUCAUUUCUCUUUCUUCCCUCAUUCAUAAAUAAAAAUAAAGAAACUGAUUCAUCUUCCUUCUUUCCUCUAGUAUCUCACCGGAUGUUAUCUUCAUUCUCCUCUCAAUCGAUAAUUUUCUUCCUCCAUCCUCUUAACUAAGAUUUUUAGAUGAAUGAUGAGUGUAUAUAACUUUUUUACAUGAUUUCUCUUUCUAGAAUUAUACAAUGUUCAUCUUAAUGAUUCUCAAAUCUAAUUCGUUCUUUUUCUAAUAUUGAGGAAUUUAUGUUCAAAUUCGAACUAUUAUAUUUUUUGAGGUUUUAAAAAAAUUUCUUUAUUAUUGAACUUUUAUUGUCUGUAAUGGUCAUUUGUUUUUCGGUCAUUUGUUAUACUUAUUCAUGUUUGGAUUUAGGUAGUGAGAUGCAAUUUUUAUGGAUGAUUUUGAAUCCAAACUCAAAGAUAAUGGACCAUUUUUAGAUAUUUUCUUCCAUUUCCUUUUCAGGUUAAGAGUUGGUUGGUGCAACAAUGGUGUUUGCUGAUAUGCUUGAACCAAAUAAAAGAUUUUUCAGUAUUUUUACUUGUAGAUUUUCUGCAAAAUAUUUCUCAAUCAAUUCUAACGAUUUUGAUUUUGUAUUUUUUUUCUUUGGCUUUUAAUGGUAUCUAAGUUGUUAUGAUAGAAGAUAAAUGAAGAUUAUUAUAGUACUUUUACAUAGUAAAAGAUACCUACUUUUCUAAUAAAACUUUUGUGUUUUAGUGAUUGAUUGAAAAAGCAUUGGCAUAUUUGAUGAGAGAAGAGGAAAAUUUAACAAAGAUAUUAGAGAUAUUGGAGUACAGACGUCACCCUUGACAAUGUUGGCUUCCUUCCCUUCAUAGCAAGGCGAUGAUGAGUCCAAUAUGGCUACCAAUUAACUGGAAAAAUAAAGGGCUCACCUGCUCAAAUUUACUAAUAAUGAGUUAAGGUAUCUAUAGAUUUUUAAAAUGAAUUUUAUUAUAGGCUACACGUCUAUGUUGCUUGAAGUUUGAACUCUUUAAAAAUGUCAUUAGUUUUGUGUUGGGUUCUAUAAAAGUAGAGUAUUUUUAGAGAAUUCAACAGGGUUCUCCAAAAGUAGAGUAUUUUUAGAGAAUUCAACAUCGAUGGUGCAUGAAAAGUGAAGAGUCCAUGCAACUUAGUGCAUAAGCUAUACACUGCUCUAUAAGAGACUAUUUAUUUCUAUUCUUAUGAAACAUACAGGGAGUAUUAACUUGAGUUUGUUGGUCAAUUUGAAAGACUUGUUGGUGCUAUUGCAAGAAGUAUGGAUGCAAUGUUCUGAAUGUCUGUCGAUAGUAAGUAGUAUUUUUGUAUUUUCAAUCUUUUUGUGCUAUUGAGUUGUAUAUAUACAUUUAUCUACAUUAUGUUUUUCAUCUUUGAACUGCAACAUCAAAGUAGUUCUUCUUUAUGUCGUGUGUAUUAUUUAUUAAAUGUAAGAAUUAUAAAGGACUAAUUUGAGGAAUUUUCAAUUGAUUAAAAUGAAACAAACAAAGGUGUCCUCCAAGCAGUAGCUGAAGAGAACACAUUUUCUUUUUCAGUUAAAUUUUUAAUUUACUAUUACUUAGAUAUGUAAUUUUUAGAAUUUAUUCUCUCCCUUAACUGAAAAUCCAUUAUAACAACCUAAUUUUUUCCUUGGCGGUCAUGACUUGUCAUAUGCUCUUUACUUCGAUAAAUGACAUAUUGGUGUGAAAUGAAAAUGUUGAUAGAUUACUAUUUGAAAGUGAAUAUAAUUAGGUAAGUUAAUUUUCAAAUUUUAGUCUUUAGACUAAUCAGACAUCUCUGAUUGAUUUCUUUAUACUGAUAUAUUUACAACUAAUUUGUAGCUUCGAUUUAAUUUUUAUGUUUUGACCAAACAUUUGGAAUGACAAUGUAAUAGGUUGCGCUAAUCAUAUGUUAAUCAAGUUAGGUCAAAAUCACAACAUAAGAAAUUUAGGAAGUCCUACAAUCUCCAAAAGUAAUGUCGUUAUAUGUUUGUCUAUUCAGCUCCUCACGAAUCAUAUAGACUUCUAUAUAUUCUAAUGAUUUCUUAUUUUAUUGAUUAUGCCUAAAUCAGAGAGUGAUCUUCAAAUUUUAAGAAUGAUCGCACACAAGUUUGUUGAAGGAGACACACACUGUGAGUAAUUUGAGCAAAUCACGUAUGCACACAAAUUCAGCUAAAAGUAGUGAGUACUUUUUCUUUUCUUUUUUCUUUUUUCUUUUUUGGCUGAGAAAUAUAUUAGUAGUAGUACUUCAGUCUGCUCAUAUUCUCCCCCAUUUGUUAUGCUUGGCUUUCUUUGUUCUUCAAUCUUUCAAACUGAAAUAUUUAUUGAUAGAUCACUAGUUCUUUGUAUUUAGUGUAGUUUUUUUAAUUCUUAAAGGUAAGGAGAAAGUUUAUAGUUAUGUUCCACCAUUUUAGCCCAUAAUAGUUAUUUGAGGAGGCAAAGCAUAAGUAAUGAAUUAGUGGUGAUUGAAUUGAUUAACAAGGAUAAUAAAAACUACUGCUAAUGUAUAAGUUUUCUAUAUUUUUUUGUUCUCUCUACUAACGUAUAAUUGAUGGUCCUGUUAUAUUCCAUUUACCUAUUUGUUCCAAAUUAAUAUGUUUCUUAUUUUAGUUUUGAUGAGUAAGCAAGUUAUCGACGACAUUGAGUUGGUUAGCAGUUUCAAUCCGAUAUGAGUAGAUUAGGAUAUGUUUAUGUGAAAUGCUCAUUUGGAUUUAUAGAUAUGCUUAUGUACUUGAAUUUUUUUAUUUAUGAUGUGGAGUUCUUAUUCUCUACCCGAAAUGAGUGAAAGUUAAAAUUUUCGUAUUUUCAUUGAUUUUUCUUGAAUUUCUUGUUUGUUCUUUUUCGGGUAUGGGUGAAUUAGAGCGGAGUGGUUGUAAAGGAUUAAUAUGUUUGACUUUACUGGUUUGGGGUAGAGUUUAGUUGAUUUAAUUGAUUGAUGGGUUUUUUGUGAGAUUUGCGCCAAGUAAUAAAAGAUGAUAAAGAGACCUUUUCUGAGUUUCGUGUCGACUAGUGAAAAGGUAAUUUGCGUUGUGUAGGUUAGGCACACUCGUGAAUUUGAAAGAAGACUUGGUGUUAAAGAGGAGAAAGGUGUGGUGUUUAAGUGGAGGAAUAUGUAGUAGGCGGGCACCUGGUUUAGAGAUUUAUUGGUGAUAAGAUGAGUUGGAUAAAGAAAACAUUAUUAUGGUAUGAUUUUUGAUCUUUUAAAGGGUGGGGGCAGGGGAGGGAUGGAGGUGGGGAGGACAAAGAAGCUAAAGUUUUGACCUUUUUAAACUUUGAUCGAGUUUUGUUGUAGGUUGUCCUAGAAAUGCUAUUACUAAGUAUAUGAAUUCAACAUGUAUAGUUUUACCUGUGUUGAAGAACUUCUC